Molecule: ribosomal RNA, 253 nt
Filed under: uncultured bacterium
Lineage: Bacteria
Description: partial 16S ribosomal RNA
Rfam family: Bacterial small subunit ribosomal RNA
Source: RNAcentral
UACGUAGGGGGCAAGCGUUGUCCGGAUUUAUUGGGCGUAAAGGGCGCGUAGGCGGCCGACCAAGUCAGAUGUGAAAGUCCUGGGCUUAACCUGGGGACUGCAUUUGAUACUGAUUGGCUUGAAUGCAGGAGAGGAUAGCGGAAUUCCCAGUGUAGAGGUGAAAUUCGUAGAUAUUGGGAAGAACACCGGUGGCGAAGGCGGCUAUCUGGACUGUGAUUGACGCUGAGGCGCGAAAGCGUGGGGAGCAAACAGG